Molecule: long non-coding RNA, 1967 nt
Filed under: Medicago truncatula (barrel medic)
Lineage: Eukaryota; Viridiplantae; Streptophyta; Magnoliopsida; Fabales; Fabaceae
Description: lncRNA gene32085
Source: RNAcentral
UAUCAUUUCAUUAAAUAUUAAAUCAUUAAUACAUGUUGGAAUCUCAUCAAAGAUAUAGAAGCUAGGAAUGGAUGUGGUUGUCUUAGCUAAUUCAUGGGCAACCGCAUUUGUUUUGAGUUUGUUAAAUAGGAAUUACAGAAUUGGAUACUAUUAUCCAUGAUGGAACCAAACUCGGUGAUAUCUCCCCUACCUCUAUUAAAAUAAUCAACUACUUUUUUCAAUUCAACCUCAAAAUCAACAUUUGUGAGCUGAAGUUCAUGUAUCCACUGAAUUGCAUGGCAUAGCCCCAAAGCCUACAACGUCAACUGAGCAUAAUGGCGUAAAACACAUUGUUUUUGAGCGAACAUGGCUCCCUACUGAAUCUCGAAUGUACAUGCCUAUUCCUACCUUAUUGCUAAAUAGAAAAAGAGGCAUUAACAUUACAUUUAAGUCUAUCGCUUCUUGGUAUCCUCAAUCUAAUGUUGCUAUCCCUGUUGUCAAAAUUAUGGUCAUCAUGUUGGUGAAGACCUGUAGUUGAAGCUGUGUGUACUUGACUAGAAGGGCUUUGAUUGCGAUUAGCACUCCUCCUAGGAGAUGUUAGUCUCUAUUCGGGUUCCCGAAAGCUGCUGCAACACACUAAAAAAUGAUGUCUGGUGCAUUAUCAAUGUGAUUCAGAGAUGGAGAAAUCAAAUGCCAAACAUUAGCUGCUCUCCAUAUAUCAAUGGAAAAAUAUGUGGUAACUAUCCUUAUCGGGGUCGUUACACGUAACACAACCUGAUAGACAAUUGAAACCUAUGUUUAUGAGCUUUACACGCGUAGGGAAUAAGUAUCUACAGACUCACCACAUCAAGUUCCUGACUUUUGGAGGUACUUUCAAUUUCCACAUACCAUUAUAGCACUCGGGUUUCCACAGAUAAUUAUUAUUAAUAAUGUCUUCAAUGCAAAUACGGUAAGAAAUUCUAACAUAGUAAAGUCCAUUCUUAUCAGCUGUCCAAACUAAUCCAUCCAUAUCAACUUGUUGGUGCAAGGGAGUAUUCAAAAUAUUUUGAGUUGUUUCUGUUGCAAACAAAUGCAAAAUUAGUUGUUCAUUCCAAAAUUUAGUGCUUUUAUCAAUCAAAUGUCCCAGUAAAUAAGGUUGAAGGGCUAGCAUCUCAGGGCCUACUGGAGGAAUGCUUGAUCCUGUCCCCAUCCAAGGCUCGCCAACAAUAGGGACAGUAAACCCAUAACCAAUUUUCCAAUGGGUAACUUGUCUAAUAACCAUCUUAGCACUGAAAAUGUUAUGCCAAACAAAGCUUGGAUUAUGUCCCAAUUUCGAAUCCAUAUAGCUACUAUUAGGGUAAUACCGGGCUUUGAAAAUUCUUGAAACUAAACUUUUUGUAUCAGUUUGUAGUUUAUAACCAUGUUUUGCAAGCAUUGCAACAUUAAAGGCUGCCAAAUCUUUGAAACCCAUACCUCAAAAAAAUUUGUGCUCUAAUAACUUCUCCCAUGACAACCAAUGCAUCCCUUUGUUACUUGUACCCAUGUCCCCAUCAGAAGGCGUUCAUCAUUUUUACAAUUUCACCUAGAAGCGUGUUUGGUAAUAUGAAUAUACUCAUAACAUACGAAGGAAUAACUUGAAGAACAUAUAUUUGGAAAAUCUGAACAUAUUUGGUAAUCUGAACAUAUAUUUGAUCAUGACUUCCCUACCUUCUUUGGAAAACUAUUUGCUGCUCCAACUGCUGAUUUUGUGCCACACUCUAUCUUUAAUGAACUUGAACGUUGCUUGUUUGAUGCGCCCUAUCAUUGAUGGCAAUCCAAGAUACUUACGCGUUCGUAGAACUGCACGCACCCCUAAGAUAUUGGUGAUGGAUAUAUUGUUGCAACGGUUCUUGGACAUUCCUACUAUAAAUGAUUACAGAUUUAGGAAGGCUGAUAGCUAUCCGUGGAAAUUAUUUACACUUGUGAUGACAAUUAUCCGAAAUUAUGUUUUUAGAAAUCAAAUAGAUAAA